Molecule: ribosomal RNA, 1198 nt
Filed under: uncultured marine diplonemid
Lineage: Eukaryota; Euglenozoa; Diplonemea
Description: bacterial SSU rRNA
Rfam family: Eukaryotic small subunit ribosomal RNA
Source: RNAcentral
CCACCCGCGGUAAUUCCAGCUCCAAUAGCGUAUAUUAAUGUUGCUGCUGUUAAAAAGCUCGUAGUUGGAUCAAGAGUCGGACAGUGCACAGUGGCCCUGUUUGUCGUAGUGGCUUCGGUCAGUGCGGCGGCAGCGGGUAAACCCUGUGCGCUAAGCUGUCCGCUCUAAUAGGUGGAAACGGUUCCCUGUGAGUAGGUCCCUUCACUGGGAUUGAAAGCGCCAACGCGUUAACCAUACGCAUACGGGACGUCCGCCAUUGUUACUGUGAACAAACCAGCGUAUCCAAAGCAGGUUAAGCCUGUAUGUUCGAGCAUGGAAUAACAAGGGAUCGGAACUCUCGGUUCUUUUUGUUGGUUUUUAACCCGAGAAGUUGGAAUGCAGGCCAGGGUGUCUGAGUCAGGUUUCCCUGGGCUUCGGCUCACGCCCUGAUUAGGCCCUGUCCUUACGGGAUCAAUAGGGACUGCCGGGGUCGUAUGUACUACUACGUCAGAGGUGAAAUUCUUAGAUCGUAGUAGGACAAACUUCUGCGAAAGCAUUCGACUAGAAUGUCUUAAUUAAUCAAGAACGAGAGUGUGGGGAUCGAAGAUGAUCAGAUACCGUCGUAGUCCACUACUGUAAACAAUGCCGUCUCAGGAUCGAGGAGUGAACUAAAUGACCUCCACGGCACUAACCCCUGAAACGAGAAAUCAAAGAUUAUUGGUUCAGGGGGGAGUACAUUCGCAAGGCUGAAACUUAAAGGAAUUGACGGAAUGACACCACCAGGCGUGGAGUAUGCGGCUUAAUUUAACUCAACACGGGGAAUUAUACUAGGUCAGGACAAUGUAAGGAUUGACAGAUUGAGAGCUCUUUCUCGAUCCAUUGUGUGGUGGUGCAUGGCCGCUCCUGGUUGGUGGAGUGAUUUGUCUGGUUGAUUCCGUUAACGAACGAGAUCUCGACCUCUAAAUAGGUGGCCGUGACGAUCUGUAGUCUCAUCUCUCCGGCUUCGGUCAAUAUGAGUGGGACGAGUCAGCGGCAAUACUUCUUAGAGGGACUGUCUGCGUCUCUAGCAGGCGGAAGAGCGAGCCAAUAGCAGGUCUGUGAUGCUCCUAAAUGUCCUAGGCUGCACGCGCACUACACUGAUGCAUUAAACGAGUCUGAUUGCCUUCUGGCAACCUAGCUUGAAGAAGCUGGGAAACCUUUUGAACUGCAUCGUGAUCAG